This 608-nucleotide ribosomal RNA is filed under the name Mrakia frigida. Its description in RNAcentral is "partial 28S ribosomal RNA". The record is from RNAcentral. Lineage: Eukaryota; Fungi; Basidiomycota; Tremellomycetes; Cystofilobasidiales; Mrakiaceae.
UUAUGCAUCAUAGCGCGUAUGUACCCGAGGGCCAACCUAAUAAAAGGCGCGCUGCGUUCCUCAGUCCCGCUCUGUGUAUUCGAAGAAGGGCUAUAACACAUCCGAGGAUGCCACGUUCCCUCCAACCUUUUCCACAGAUCGAAACUGAUGCUGGCCUGCCAACCGAGAAGUACACCGACAGAAUCGGCUGAGUCUCGGAAAGCAUGACUGACUUCAAUCGUUUCCCUUUUAACAAUUUCACGUACUGUUUAACUCUCUUUCCAAAGUGCUUUUCAUCUUUCCCUCACGGUACUUGUUCGCUAUCGGUCUCUCGCCAAUAUUUAGCUUUAGAUGGAAUUUACCACCCAUUUUGAGCUGCAUUCCCAAACAACUCGACUCUUCGAGAUCGCAUCACAAAGCAUUGGUAAUCUGUGUCAAGGACGGGAUUCUCACCCUCUAUGACGCCCUGUUCCAAGGGACUUGUACACAGGCCAACGCGGAAAACGAUUCUCUAGACUACAACUCGGACGACCUGAGGCCGCCAGAUUUUAAAUUUGAGCUCAUCCCGCUUCACUCGCCGUUACUAGGGGAAUCCUUGUUAGUUUCUUUUCCUCCCUAUUGAGUUUGGA